UCUGCUACUCAGUCGCCUUCCGUUUCCCGACACAUCGCUCAAGCUACGGGCAGUGCAAUGGGACAAGCCUAGGAGGGAUGCGAAUUAGUGGAGUGGCGAGCUCACCUGCACAGGUGACCAUGCAGUCCCAGAAUCGCUGAAGAGCUCCAGCAUGGUCCACCCGGGAGGUACGGGAUCUGAUCACUGUAUGGGGAGACGAAUCUGUGCUGGCAGAAUGCCGUUUGAAAAGACGAAAUGCCAAAAUAUUUGAAAAAAUCUCCAGUGGCAUGAAGGACAGAGGCUAUAACAGGGACCCGCAGCAGUGCUGCGUGAAAAUUAAGGAGCUCAGGCAAGCCUACCAAAAAACCAGAGAGGCAAACGGCCGCUCCGAUUCAGAGCCCUAGACAUGCCGCUUCUAUGAUGAGCUGCAUGCCAUUCUAGGGGGUGCAGCUACCACUACCCCAACCCUGUGCUUUGACUCUGUCCAAGGCAACACGGAAGCGGGUUUUGAGGGUGAGGGAGAUGAUAGCUCACAGCAAGGAAGCGGAGAAACCGGUUUCCCCAACAGCCAGGAUCUGUUUGUCACCCUGACCUGGAGCCUGUACCCCCCAAACCCACCCAAGGCGGGCUCCCGGACCCUGAAGGCGGAGAAGGGACCUCUGCUGCAUAUGUUUCUCCUUCCCAGAGGCUAGCAAAGAUUAGAAGGCAAAAAAAACGCACUCGUGAUGAAAUAUUCUCUGACCUCAUGCUGUCCUCCCACACUGACAGAGCACAGCAAAAUACGUGGAGGCAGACAAUCUCAGAGUGCAGGAAAACACAAUAUGACUGCGAGGAGAGGUGGCGGGCUGAAGAUGGUAGGUGGCGUCAGCUUGCUGAAAGAAGGCAGAAGUCAAUGCUCAGGCUUCUGGAGGAUCAAACUCAUAUACUCCAGCAUAUCGUUGAGCUGCAGGAAGGGCAGCAGGACCACAGACCGCCACUACAGCCCCUGUGUAUCCAACCGCCCUCCUCCCCAAGUUCCAUAGCCUCCUUACCCAGAUGCCCAAGAAUGCAGUGGGGGGGCCCCCUCUGGCCACCCAGCCACUCCACCCCAGAGGAUUGCCCAAGCAACAGAAGGCUGGCAUUCAAUAAGUUUUAAAGUGCUGUGUGGCCUUGUCCUUCCCUCCUCCACCACCCCUCCCGAGCUACCUUGGCAGUUAUCCUCCUAUUUGUGUGAUGAAUAAAUAA
Caretta caretta (loggerhead turtle) is the source of this 1203-nucleotide long non-coding RNA. RefSeq lists it as uncharacterized. NCBI's taxonomy places the organism in Eukaryota, Metazoa, Chordata, Testudines, Cheloniidae. The record is from RefSeq and is a predicted model, not a curated record.